Molecule: ribosomal RNA, 425 nt
Filed under: Verrucomicrobiota bacterium
Lineage: Bacteria; Pseudomonadati; Verrucomicrobiota
Description: Verrucomicrobia bacterium partial 16S ribosomal RNA
Rfam family: Bacterial small subunit ribosomal RNA
Source: RNAcentral
UGAGGAAUAUUGGUCAAUGGGCGAGAGCCUGAACCAGCCACGUCGCGUGAAGGAAGACUGACCUUACGGUUUGUAAACUUCUUUUGUAGAGGGGUAAUGGCAGAUACGUGUAUUUGCGUGAAAGUACUCUACGAAUAAGGACCGGCUAAUUCCGUGCCAGCAGCCGCGGUAAUACGGAAGGUCCGGGCGUUAUCCGGAUUUAUUGGGUUUAAAGGGAGCGUAGGCUGUCUAUUAAGCGUGUUGUGAAAUUUACCGGCUCAACCGGUGGCUUGCAGCGCGAACUGGUCGACUUGAGUAUGCAGGAAGUAGGCGGAAUUCAUGGUGUAGCGGUGAAAUGCUUAGAUAUCAUGACGAACUCCGAUUGCGCAGGCAGCUUACUGUAGCAUAACUGACGCUGAUGCUCGAAAGUGCGGGUAUCAAACAGG